Molecule: unclassified non-coding RNA, 232 nt
Filed under: Hevea brasiliensis (rubber tree)
Lineage: Eukaryota; Viridiplantae; Streptophyta; Magnoliopsida; Malpighiales; Euphorbiaceae
Source: RNAcentral
GGCUUUGACUGUAUUGGAAUACCUUGUUGGUCAUGGAUCAGAGCGUGUAAUAGAUGAGAUAAGGGAACAUGCAUAUCAAAUAUCGACAUUGGCAGAUUUCCAAUAUAUUGAUUCUAGUGGAAGUGACCAGGGUAGCAAUGUCAGAAAGAAAUCUCAAAGUCUUGUGGUCNNNNNNNCUGGUUAAUGAUAAAGAAAGGAUAAUCGAAGUUAGACAAAAGGCUGCUGCUAAUCG